RNAcentral lists this ribosomal RNA (253 nucleotides) under uncultured bacterium. RNAcentral describes it as "partial 16S ribosomal RNA". It matches the Rfam family "Bacterial small subunit ribosomal RNA", at positions 524 to 776 of the family's 1533-position model. The record is from RNAcentral.
UACGGGGGGGGCAAGCGUUGUUCGGAAUUACUGGGCGUAAAGGGCUCGUAGGCGGCCAACUAAGUCAGACGUGAAAUCCCUCGGCUUAACCGGGGAACUGCGUCUGAUACUGGAUGGCUUGAGAUUGGGAGAGGGAUGCGGAAUUCCAGGUGUAGCGGUGAAAUGCGUAGAUAUCUGGAGGAACACCGGUGGCGAAGGCGGCCAUCUGGACCGGCACUGACGCUGAGGCGCGAAAGCGUGGGGAGCAAACAGG